Scylla paramamosain (green mud crab) is the source of this 583-nucleotide long non-coding RNA. RefSeq lists it as uncharacterized. The record is from RefSeq and is a predicted model, not a curated record. Lineage: Eukaryota; Metazoa; Arthropoda; Malacostraca; Decapoda; Portunidae. The transcript has 3 exons.
GGCCGAAAUGUUUGUUUAUUGACAGGCGAAGGGCGGGUGAUGGGCUGAUGGCACGCCUCGCCUAUUGCUUACCAAAUCUUAAGACGAGAUUUACAGGAUUUCCCUCUUUCUCUACGUCUUAAGAGAAAGAGAGGGAAGUGCUCUGGCCAUCCUCAGGCUGCAGCUCGCCCUCAGAGCCGCGUAAAGUGAGUUCCAUGGGGAGAGGCAGAACAGCUGUGUGGCAGCACCUCAGCAUCACCUGAGGGACAUGCACUCAGGUCCUCACUCCCCAGAAUCUAGAAUGUAUGAAGAGGACCAUGAGCCCCAAGGGAUGGUGCCAUAGUGUGUUGGUGGUGCAGGCUGGUGCUGUGUUCCUGGUGCUGGGACCAGUAGGGGAGCUGGUGCAGCGGGCAGAGGCUGUGGUGGCAUACAGCACACAGAACCAGCCCUCCGUCUACUCGGAAGAAUUAACCAAUCAAAAGCUAGAAAGCUUUUCACAACUAUGGCAGGGAAUAUUUCUUUGGGGAUUUUUCUCCAUAUUAUUUAUUCACAUAGUGUCUGCCAUCAUUGCCUUUCUGAUGCUGAGACGACAUAAGUAUGGAAG